UGUGGCCAGUUUUAGUGCUCAUC
RNAcentral lists this microRNA (23 nucleotides) under Electrophorus electricus (electric eel). Its description in RNAcentral is "eel-miR-11060-5p". Lineage: Eukaryota; Metazoa; Chordata; Actinopteri; Gymnotiformes; Gymnotidae. The record is from miRBase by way of RNAcentral.